GACGUAUGGCGCGAGCGUUGUCCGGAUUUAUUGGGCGUAAAGAGCUCGUAGGCGGCUUGUCGCGUCGACUGUGAAAACCCGCGGCUCAACUGCGGGCCUGCAGUCGAUACGGGCAGGCUAGAGUUCGGUAGGGGAGACUGGAAUUCCUGGUGUAGCGGUGAAAUGCGCAGAUAUCUGGAGGAACACCGGUGGCGAAGGCGACGUCCUGGACCGGCAUUGACGCUGAGGCGCGAAAGCCAGGGGAGCAAACGGG
RNAcentral lists this ribosomal RNA (253 nucleotides) under uncultured bacterium. Its description in RNAcentral is "partial 16S ribosomal RNA". It matches the Rfam family "Bacterial small subunit ribosomal RNA", at positions 524 to 776 of the family's 1533-position model. The record is from RNAcentral.